CAAUAGCGUAUAUUAAAGUUGUUGCAGUUAAAAAGCUCGUAGUUGGAUUUCUGGUUGCAGCGACCGGUCGGGCGUUGAUUCGUCUGCACUGGAGUCGGUUUUGGCCAUCCUCUAGGAAAGUGCGUCUGGUAUUAAGUUAUCGGGCGUAUGAUCCUGGUCUUUUACUGUGAAAAAAUUAGAGUGUUUAAAGCAGGCCUUCGCCUUGAAUACAUUAGCAUGGAAUAAUAAGAUAGGACUUUGGUCUAUUUUGUUGGUUUGCAGACCGAAGUAAUGAUUAAUAGGGAUAGUUGGGGGUAUUUAUAUUCCGAUGUCAGAGGUGAAAUUCUUAGAUUUUCGGAAGAUAAACUUAUGCGAAAGCAUUUACCAAGGAUGUUUUCAUUAA
This 382-nucleotide ribosomal RNA is filed under the name uncultured eukaryote. Its description in RNAcentral is "partial 18S ribosomal RNA". It matches the Rfam family "Eukaryotic small subunit ribosomal RNA", at positions 592 to 976 of the family's 1831-position model. The record is from RNAcentral.